CUAAACCUAUUUAUAAAGGCGGCAUUUCAUCUUAUUAGAGGAACCUAUAUUUUUAAUCGACACCCCACGUUAAAUUUUACUUAGAUUUAAAAUUUAUAUAUCGCCAUCUAAAAAACUAAUCCAAUGAUAAUAUUUUUAAUAAAUAAUAAAAAUAAAAAGUUAGGUCAAGGUGUAAUCCACAUUUAAGUAAAUAAUGGGUUACAUUAAAAAAAAAUUUAAGGACUUUUUUAUAAAAAUAUUACUCAAAAAAGGAUUUAAAAGUAAUUUAAUAAUAAUAUUAUAAUAUG
RNAcentral lists this ribosomal RNA (287 nucleotides) under Lycosidae gen.5 sp. NM-2005. Its description in RNAcentral is "partial 12S ribosomal RNA". Lineage: Eukaryota; Metazoa; Arthropoda; Arachnida; Araneae; Lycosidae. The record is from RNAcentral.